Molecule: transfer RNA, 87 nt
Filed under: Chloroflexota bacterium
Lineage: Bacteria; Bacillati; Chloroflexota
Description: Chloroflexi bacterium tRNA-Leu
Rfam family: tRNA
About the family: Transfer RNA (tRNA) molecules are approximately 80 nucleotides in length. Their secondary structure includes four short double-helical elements and three loops (D, anti-codon, and T loops).
Source: RNAcentral
GCCGAGGUGGUGAAAUUGGUAGACACGCAGUCCUCAGGAGGCUGUGAGCUUCUGCUCGUGCGGGUUCGAAUCCCGCCCUCGGCACCA